UUAAGUUAGUAAGGGCGCACGGUGGAUGCCUUGGCACUAGGAGCCGAAGAAGGACGUGACAAACGACGAAAUGCCUUGGGGAGCUGUAAGUAAGCGUAGAUCCAGGGAUGUCCGAAUGGGGGAACCCAAUAGGUAGAUACCUAUUACCCGUAUCUGUUAAGGAUAUGAGGAGGAAGACGCAGUGAACUGAAACAUCUAAGUAGCUGCAGGAAGAGAAAGCAAAAGCGAUUGCCUGAGUAGCGGCGAGCGAAAGGGCAAGAGGGCAAACCGAGAAGUUUACUUCUCGGGGUUGUAGGACUGCGAUGUGGAUUUAAAGAUUAUAGAAGAAGACCUUGGGAAAGGUUGCCAGAGAGAGUAAGAGCCUCGUAUUUUAAAUAAUCUUUAUACCUAGCAGGAUCCUGAGUACGGCGGGACACGAGGAAUCCCGUCGGAAUCUGGGAGGACCAUCUCCCAACCCUAAAUACUCCCUAGUGACCGAUAGUGAACCAGUACCGUGAGGGAAAGGUGAAAAGCACCCCGGGAGGGGAGUGAAAGAGAACCUGAAACCGUGUGCCUACAACAAGUUCGAGCCCGUUAAUGGGUGAGAGCGUGCCUUUUGUAGAAUGAACCGGCGAGUUACGUUAUGAUGCGAGGUUAAGUUGAAGAGACGGAGCCGUAGGGAAACCGAGUCUGAAGAGGGCGGUAUAGUAUCAUGAUGUAGACCCGAAACCAUGUGACCUACCCAUGAGCAGGUUGAAGGUGAGGUAAAACUCACUGGAGGACCGCACCAGGGCACGUUGAAAAGUGCUUGGAUGACUUGUGGGUAGCGGAGAAAUUCCAAACGAACUUGGAGAUAGCUGGUUCUCUCCGAAAUAGCUUUAGGGCUAGCGUCGACAGAAAGAUUCUUGGAGGUAGAGCACUGUUUGGGUGAGGGGUCCAUCCCGGAUUACCAAUCUCAGAUAAACUCCGAAUGCCAAUGAAUUAUGGUCGGCAGUCAGACUGCGAGUGCUAAGAUCCGUAGUCGAAAGGGAAACAGCCCAGACCACCAGCUAAGGUCCCAAAAUAAUUGUUAAGUGGAAAAGGAUGUGGGGUUGCACAGACAACUAGGAUGUUAGCUUAGAAGCAGCUAUUCAUUCAAAGAGUGCGUAAUAGCUCACUAGUCGAGUGACCCUGCGCCGAAAAUGUACCGGGGCUAAAACAAUUUACCGAAGCUGUGGAUCCUUUAGGGGAUGGUAGGAGAGCGUUCUAUGUGUGGUGAAGGUGUACCGUGAGGAGCGCUGGAACGCAUAGAAGUGAGAAUGCCGGUAUGAGUAGCGCAAGACAGGUGAGAAUCCUGUCCACCGUAAGACUAAGGUUUCCAGGGGAAGGCUCGUCCGCCCUGGGUUAGUCGGGACCUAAGGAGAGACCGAAAGGUGUAUCCGAUGGCCAACAGGUAGAGAUUCCUGUACUAGAGUAUAGAGUGAAGGAGGGACGCAGUAGGCUAACUCAAGCGUGCGAAUGGAAGAGCACGUCUAAGCAGUGAGGUGUGAUAGGAGUCAAAUGCUUCUAUCUGUAACAUUGAGCUGUGAUGGGGAGCGAAGUUUAGUAGCGAAGUGAGUGACGUCACACUGCCAAGAAAAGCUUCUAGCGUUAAUUUAUACUCUACCCGUACCGCAAACCGACACAGGUAGUCGAGGCGAGUAGCCUCAGGUGAUCGAGAGAACUCUCGUUAAGGAACUCGGCAAAAUGACCCCGUAACUUCGGGAGAAGGGGUGCUGGCUUAAAGUCAGCCGCAGUGAAUAGGCCCAAGCAACUGUUUAUCAAAAACACAGCUCUCUGCUAAAUCGUAAGAUGAUGUAUAGGGGGUGACGCCUGCCCGGUGCUGGAAGGUUAAGAGGAGUGCUUAGACGUAAGUCGAAGGUAUGAAUUGAAGCCCCAGUAAACGGCGGCCGUAACUAUAACGGUCCUAAGGUAGCGAAAUUCCUUGUCGGGUAAGUUCCGACCCGCACGAAAGGCGUAAUG
This 1980-nucleotide ribosomal RNA is filed under the name human vaginal metagenome. RNAcentral describes it as "bacterial LSU rRNA". It matches the Rfam family "Bacterial large subunit ribosomal RNA", at positions 3 to 2006 of the family's 2925-position model. The record is from RNAcentral.